Molecule: unclassified non-coding RNA, 355 nt
Filed under: soil metagenome
Description: partial contains 5.8S ribosomal RNA, internal transcribed spacer 2, and large subunit ribosomal RNA
Rfam family: 5.8S ribosomal RNA (bases 1-120)
Source: RNAcentral
GAUGAAGAACGUAGCGAAAUGCGAUAAGUAAUGUGAAUUGCAGAAUUCAGUGAAUCAUCGAAUCUUUGAACGCACAUUGCGCCCAUUAGUAUUCUAGUAGGCAUGCCUGUUCGAGCGUCAUUAAGUCCACUUAAGCCCUGCUUAGUGUUGGGAGACUGCUCCAGCGGUGCUACCCUGUAGCUACCCUGCAGCUCCUCAAAGACAGCGGCGGAGUUGUGGUAUCCUCUGAGCUUAGUAACUUGUUCUAGCUUUCGAGUACACCACUUCCCCUGCCGUAAAACCCUUAAUUUUUAAUGGUUGACCUCGGAUCAGGUAGGAAUACCCGCUGAACUUAAGCAUAUCAAUAAGCGGAGGA